GAUGAACGCUGGCGGCGUGCCUAAUACAUGCAAGUCGAGCGAACAGAUAAGGAGCUUGCUCCUUGGACGUUAGCGGCGGGCGGGUGAGUAACACGUGGGUAACCUACCUAUAAGACUGGGAUAACUACGGGAAACCGGAGCUAAUACCGGAGAAUAUUUCGAACCGCAGGGUUCGAUAGUGAAAGAUGGUUUUGCUAUCACUUAUAGAUGGACCCGCGCCGUAUUAGCUAGUUGGUAGGGUAACGGCUUACCAAGGCGACGAUACGUAGCCGACCUGAGAGGGUGAUCGGCCACACUGGAAGUUAUACACGGUCCAGACUCCUACGGGAGGCCGCAGUAGGGAAUCUUACGCAAUGGGGGAAAGCCUUACGGAGCAGCGCCGCGCGAGUGGUGACGGUCUUCGGAUCGUAAAACUCUGUUAUUAGGGAAGAACCUCCGUGUACGUAACUGUGCACGUCUUGACGGUACCUGGUCAGAAAGCCCCGGCUAACUACGUG
Molecule: ribosomal RNA, 497 nt
Filed under: uncultured bacterium
Lineage: Bacteria
Description: partial 16S ribosomal RNA
Rfam family: Bacterial small subunit ribosomal RNA
Source: RNAcentral